GCGCAGUGGUCCCACCUGACCCCAUGCCGAACUCAGAAGUGAAACGCCGUAGCGC
RNAcentral lists this ribosomal RNA (55 nucleotides) under Cronobacter sakazakii. Lineage: Bacteria; Pseudomonadati; Pseudomonadota; Gammaproteobacteria; Enterobacterales; Enterobacteriaceae. The record is from RNAcentral.